Molecule: ribosomal RNA, 270 nt
Filed under: uncultured archaeon
Lineage: Archaea
Description: partial 16S ribosomal RNA
Rfam family: Archaeal small subunit ribosomal RNA
Source: RNAcentral
CAGCACCUCAAGUGGUCAGGAUGAUUAUUGGGCCUAAAGCAUCCGUAGCCGGCGCUGUAAGUUUUCGGUUAAAUCUGUACGCUCAACGUACAGGCUGCCGGGAAUACUGCAGCGCUAGGGAGUGGGAGAGGUAGACGGUAUUCGGUAGGAAGGGGUAAAAUCCUUUGAUCUAUUGAUGACCACCUGUGGCGAAGGCGGUCUACCAGAACACGUCCGACGGUGAGGGAUGAAAGCUGGGGGAGCAAACCGGAUUAGAUACCCGCGUAGUCC